UGGAUCUCCCAGAAGCUGGAAGAAUGGCUGAACAAGACAGAUGUGAUCUGCUCACCCUGCCUCUAGGACUGCAUCUUGUUCUCAGCUGUCUCGUUUUGCUAAACAAAGGACAUAUCUAAAAAAUGCAUCAGCCUCAAGCUGAUCACACCACACGUGGUGAUGAGUAUGCUGGCAGAUGUGACCGUGGAGACCAAUGUUCUGGGCACCCUGGAGUCCCACAGGAGCAGAGGAAAAGGACCAAGCAUGAGAGAACAGGCUGUCUCUUGGGCUUUGGACUGUCUCAUGUCACAGGCUGCCCUAUGCCUGCAAUGAGCUGCGCACACCAGAAGAUGCUUAAAUAUCCACAUAUCUCAUACUGCAGGGAGUUUUCAGCUUGUGGGCGUUUUUAGAAGGCGAGAAUGGGAGGAGUGAAAUGAUCCACGUCCCCGUUGUCUGUAGGAGAAGGAGAUGUAUUCUGUGCAACUUCUAAACAGCCAUACACCAGGAGGAAGAAUUUACUCGGGAGCUGUUCCCAUGUGGUAGCUGUUAUUAAUGGAUUGAUUUUUCAGACAAUAGUACGGCUUCUUGCAGAAACCCAAACUCCAAGAACUUACUGUUUCAGCCAAAAGAAAUCUGUAAAAAAAUGUUUUCUUAAAAAAAAAAUUGUUUAUUUUUUAAAUGUGGAAAAUAGAUUUUUUUUUUUUUUCCUUCAAAGUAAAGCCCAAAAAACACCCUUUGGCUCAACUGUCAAAUCUCUGAAGACUGAAAGUUCAGGAAACCUUCCUUUGGACCCAGCUCCCUUCACUGCUGUCUGCCUUUAAGGGAAGCCACCUCAGGCACAAGGACUUUGUGCAUGGAGGCUAAUGAAGUACAGGAAGCCCUGCUCCCCUGGAGUCUUCAGGGACACAAUACUGUCUUCCCCUGGCAGUCAUACAUCAUGGGACAGCUUCCCAGAAAUCACAAGCAGAUUAAACAUUACAGGAUCUUUUCCCUUGCAAUGGCACAGAUUAAGGGUAACAGCACAAAGAGCAAGUGAAUGCAAAGCCUAUAGGAGAGGUCACAGAGCAUCUUGUGCCAGAUGGUGUUGUAGCUCUCCUGAAAGCUACCAGCUUUGGCUGGCCCCAGACCUCCUCUGGCCCCACACCUGUGGGAAGAGAGGGAGCAAGUACACCCCUGACUUCCUCCUUUGUGUUGAGAUGGCAAAAAACUUCAGGCAGAAACUGCCUCUGGCUGGCUCUGCACAACACCUGCUAAAGUAAGGUCUCAUUUUAGCUGGGGCUCUCAAACAUUACAGUAGUAC
RNAcentral lists this long non-coding RNA (1279 nucleotides) under Corvus moneduloides (New Caledonian crow). RNAcentral's name for it is "lncRNA (ENSCMUG00000002976.2)". The record is from RNAcentral. Lineage: Eukaryota; Metazoa; Chordata; Aves; Passeriformes; Corvidae.